AUAGGAAAUUUAAGGGCGUAUGGUGGAUGCCUAGGUUCUAAAAGACGAUGAAGGACGUAGCUUGGCUGCGAUAAGCUUCGGGGAGGUGCCCAGCAACCUUUGAUCCGGAGAUUUCCGAAUGGGGAAACCCUCUUCGCAUUAUGCGGAGAAUGCAGGACUAGACGCCUGCAAGUGCACCCAGGGAAGUAAAACAUUUCAGUACCUGGAGGAAAAGAAAACAACCCCGCUUUCGGGCGGGGAAUAUUUCCUUAGUAGUGGCGAGCGAAAGGGAAAGAGCCCAAACCCAGCCCUACUCUCAAUGCGUGAUUAUUAUGGUAAUCGUGAAUUGAGAGUAGAGCUGGGGGUUGUAAGGCAGUAACUUCGUUUUUAAAACGAGAAGAGUCAAAAAAUUUUUUAUUAAUUGAAUGUGCUGGAAAGCACAAUCCUAGAGGGUAAUAAUCCCGUAAAUGAAAAUAAAAAAUCUCUUUUGUUACUGUUCUUGAGUACCUCGAGACACGAAUGGCUCGGGGGAAUCUGCCGGAACUAACCGGUAAGGCUAAAUACUUUUAGAGACCGAUAGUGAACAAGUACCGUGAGGGAAAGGUGAAAAGUAGCCCGAUGAGGGCGGUGAAAUAGACCUGAAACCAUAUGUCUACAAGGAGUCGGAGCGGGCAUCACAUUGCGUGUGAUGACAGCUGUCAGCGAUCAGCCGUCAGUUAUCAGGAAAAUUCUGAUAAGCUGAAAGCUAUAAACUGAAAGCUGGACAUCGUGCGUAGCGUGAUGUCCGCCACGGCGUGCCUAUUGAAGAAUGAGCCAACGAGUUCUAGCAUGCUGCGUGGUUAAUCCGUUUAGGCGGAGGAGCCGUAGGGAAACCGAGUGUUAAUAGCGCGCAAGUAGUAUGUUAGAGACCCGAAGCCAGGUGAGCUUGCCAUGAGCAGGGUGAACCCACGCGAAAGCGUGGGGGAAGCCCGAACCGUUGAGCCGUGCAAUACUCUCGGAUGACUUGUGGUAAGGAGUGAAAAGCUAAUCGAACCUGGUAAUAGCUGGUUCUCUCCGAAAGAGCUUUUGGGUUCGCGUCGCGUGUUCCCUCUAGGGGUAGAGCACUGGAAGGUUUAGACAGGGAGAAAUCUCGCUAAACCUAUCAAACUCCGAAUACUAGAGGUUAGAGCGUGGCAGUUAGACUGCGGGGGCUAAGCUCCGUCGGUCAAAAGGGAAACAGCCCAGAUCUCUAUUUAAGGUCCCUAAAUCAUAGCUAAGUGCACUUAAGGUGGUGAAGUUUCCUCGACACUGAGGAGGUUGGCUUAGAAGCAGCCAUCCUUUAAAGAAAGCGUAACAGCUCACUCAGUAAGAGACUCUGCGCCGCAGAUAAUCGGGGCUAAAGCUAUGUACCGAAACUGAGGAUUUUUGUCGUGUUCGCACGGCAGAAGUGGUAGGAGAGUAUUCGUAUCUGCUGUGAAGGUGAAGGGGUAACCCACACUGGAGUGAUGCGAAGUAAGAAUGUUGGCACAAGUAACCGCAAUGGGAGUGAGAAUCUCCCACGCCGAAAGAACAAGGUUUCCUUGGCGAUGUAGAUCAGCCAAGGGUUAGUCGGGCCUAAGGUAAUGGCGAAAGCCGCAGCCGAUGGACACAUGGUUAAUAUUCCAUGACCUUGAUGUGUUUCGAUGGAGUGACGGAGAUUAGUAGUCUUUGCGAUUUAUUGGAUUAUCGUUCUUGGUCAGAGGGUGUUUCCCAGGAAAAUCCGGGAGACUUAAGCCCCAAGACAGAGAAAAGUUAUGCCUUCGGGUAUGGCAAUUAAGACGAGCAGUCUUCCAAGAAAAACUUCUAAGAUUAAGCACAUUGAGACCGUACCAAAAACCAACACAGGUGUUCAGCUCGAGUAGAGUAAGGCGAACGAGUGAGAAAUCCCCAAGGAACUCGGCAAAAAAGCAGCCGUAACUUCGGAAUAAGGCUUCCCCGUGGAAUAAAGAAUCGGAAUGUAGGUGGUGUGUGUUGAGUCAUUAUUGGACUUGAUUAUCAUAUCUACCUGUCGGAUUUUUUAUUCCACGGGGCGCAGCUAAAGUAUCUCUGGCAACUGUUUAUCAAAAACACAGCUCCCUGCGAACUCGCAAGAGGAUGUAUAGGGGGUGACACCUGACCGAUGCCAGAAGGUCAAACGUUGGGGGUCCAUAUGUCUUCGGAUAUGUGGGCUGACUGAUGUAAGCCCUGGUGAAUGUCGGCCGUAACUAUAGACAUGACCGUUGUAGUUACGUUAAAAAAUCUUGCUAUAUGCUGGAAAACCCGCUCCAUUAAAACAAAAGAUGGAGAAAAAGUAACAUAUAUUACGAGCACAUGUCGAUGUGUCGUGACAAUAUAUAUGUGCGGAUAAUCAGCAGGAAAGACUUCUGAUCUAACAAAAUAUGUUGAAAAAAAUUCCUGUUGAUAUAGGAAACUAUAUUACGGGGUUUGUAGACGGAGAAGGAAGCUUCAAUGUCUCAAUCAAAAAAAGGUUAGAUUAUAAAGAAAGUUGGAAAUUGACCGCUAGUUUCAAUAUUUCCCAAAAGGAUAGGGUUAUCCUAGCUUGGAUAAAACACAUUUUGGGAUGUGGAACACUGCGGGAGAGAAAAGACGGCGUCGUGUACUACGAAGUAACAAAUAUUACUUCGCUUCAUGAUGUCGUGGUUCCAUUUUUCAGAACGUAUGGGUUUCGCUCUGCGUACAAAAAAAAUAAUUUCAGGAUUUUUUCUGAAAUAGUUUCAAUUAUGUAUUCAGGGAAACACAAUACGAAAGAGGAGUUUCAGAAAGUACUGGAGUUAAGAGAAAAACUUAAUCCAGGAAUUGGAAGAAAACGAAAAUACACAUUAUCCAAUGUAGUAACCUCAGAAGAAUCCUCAGAGACUAUACGCAAGACGGUUUCAAAUCAAUAAUUGGAGUCGACGAUUUGGAAACGAUGAUAUAGUCCGAUCUUAUUGGUAACAAUAAGCUAACACGUGAGAAAUA
RNAcentral lists this ribosomal RNA (2955 nucleotides) under Candidatus Zambryskibacteria bacterium CG_4_9_14_3_um_filter_40_16. RNAcentral describes it as "bacterial LSU rRNA". The stretch from base 1 to 2398 matches the Rfam family "Bacterial large subunit ribosomal RNA". The record is from RNAcentral. Lineage: Bacteria; Candidatus Zambryskiibacteriota.